This 793-nucleotide ribosomal RNA is filed under the name uncultured bacterium. RNAcentral's name for it is "bacterial SSU rRNA". It matches the Rfam family "Bacterial small subunit ribosomal RNA", at positions 8 to 796 of the family's 1533-position model. The record is from RNAcentral.
AGAGUUUGAUCAUGGCUCAGAUUGAACGCUGGCGGCAGGCCUAACACAUGCAAGUCGAGCGGUAGAGAGAAGCUUGCUUCUCUUGAGAGCGGCGGACGGGUGAGUAAUGCCUAGGAAUCUGCCUGGUAGUGGGGGAUAACGUUCGGAAACGGACGCUAAUACCGCAUACGUCCUACGGGAGAAAGCAGGGGACCUUCGGGCCUUGCGCUAUCAGAUGAGCCUAGGUCGGAUUAGCUAGUUGGUGAGGUAAUGGCUCACCAAGGCGACGAUCCGUAACUGGUCUGAGAGGAUGAUCAGUCACACUGGAACUGAGACACGGUCCAGACCCCUACGGGAGGCAGCGGUGGGGAAUAUUGGACAAUGGGCGAAAGCCUGAUCCAGCCAUGCCGCGUGUGUGAAGAAGGUCUUCGGAUUGUAAAGCACUUUAAGUUGGGAGGAAGGGUUGUAGAUUAAUACUCUGCAAUUUUGACGUUACCGACAGAAUAAGCACCGGCUAACUCUGUGCCAGCAGCCGCGGUAAUACAGAGGGUGCAAGCGUUAAUCGGAAUUACUGGGCGUAAAGCGCGCGUAGGUGGUUUGUUAAGUUGGAUGUGAAAUCCCCGGGCUCAACCUGGGAACUGCAUUCAAAACUGACUGACUAGAGUAUGGUAGAGGGUGGUGGAAUUUCCUGUGUAGCGGUGAAAUGCGUAGAUAUAGGAGGGAACACCAGUGGCGAAGGCGACCACCUGGACUAAUACUGACACUGAGGUGCGAAAGCGUGGGGAGCAAACAGGAUUAGAUACCCUGGUAGUCC